GCCCGUGUGGUGGAAUGGUAGACGCGGCGGACUCAAAAUCCGCUGAGUGAUGAACUCGUGCCGGUUCGAGUCCGGCCUCGGGCACCA
Molecule: transfer RNA, 87 nt
Filed under: Candidatus Alloenteromonas pullicola
Lineage: Bacteria; Bacillati; Bacillota
Also listed under: 1 other name
Description: tRNA-Leu
Rfam family: tRNA
About the family: Transfer RNA (tRNA) molecules are approximately 80 nucleotides in length.
Source: RNAcentral